RNAcentral lists this long non-coding RNA (214 nucleotides) under Elaeis guineensis (African oil palm). RNAcentral's name for it is "long non-coding RNA (EGUI_LNC058687)". Lineage: Eukaryota; Viridiplantae; Streptophyta; Magnoliopsida; Arecales; Arecaceae. The record is from RNAcentral.
AUUAAUGUAUGAUACAGUCCCUCUAUUGUGAGUCUCGAUCAGAUGGUAGGUCAUAGAUAAAUCAUCAAAUCUUAUCAUCAGUCAUAUGAUAGAUUUAAUUAGCUUGAGUCUAUGUAUGAUUUUCAUAAAAAUUUUUUUCUAUCAAUCACACUGCUAUGGCCAUAGACUUAAGAACUUAGCUUUUUAAAUCUUAUAGGACUACUCUCUUUUAUUA